Molecule: ribosomal RNA, 433 nt
Filed under: uncultured bacterium
Lineage: Bacteria
Description: partial 16S ribosomal RNA
Rfam family: Bacterial small subunit ribosomal RNA
Source: RNAcentral
AACGAACGCUGGCGGCAUGCCUAACACAUGCAAGUCGAACGAGACCUUCGGGUCUAGUGGCGCACGGGUGCGUAACGCGUGGGAACCUGCCCUUAGGUUAGGAAUAACUCCCCGAAAGGGGUGCUAAUACCGGAUAAUGUCUUCGGACCAAAGAUUUAUCGCCUUUGGAUGGGCCCGCGUUGGAUUAGCUAGUUGGUAGGGUAAAAGCCAACCAAGGCGACGAUCCAUAGCUGGUCUGAGAGGAGGAUCAGCUAGACUGGGACUGAGACACGGCCCAGAAUCCUACGGGAGGCAGCAGUGGGUAAUAUUGGAAGCUGGGCGAAAGCCUGAUCCAGCAAUGCCGCGUGAGUGAUGAAGGCAUUAGGAUUGUAAAUCUCUUUUACACGAGAUGAUAAUGACAGUACCGGGUGAAUAAGCUCCGGCUAACUACGUG